Molecule: ribosomal RNA, 253 nt
Filed under: uncultured bacterium
Lineage: Bacteria
Description: partial 16S ribosomal RNA
Rfam family: Bacterial small subunit ribosomal RNA
Source: RNAcentral
UACAGAGGCCUCGAGCGUUAGGCGGAAUCACUGGGCUUAAAGCGUGUGUAGGUGGAUGCCUAAGUACCUUGUGAAAUCCCAUGGCUUAACCAUGGAAUUGCUUGGUAUACUGGGUGUCUUGAGCCACUCAGGGGCGAGCGGAACAAACGGUGGAGCGGUGAAAUGCGUAGAUAUCAAGUGGAACACCGGUGGCGAAGGCGGGUCUCUGGGCCGUAACUGACGCUGAGGAGCGAAAGCAUGGGGAGCGAACAGG